Molecule: long non-coding RNA, 565 nt
Organism: Mya arenaria
Lineage: Eukaryota; Metazoa; Mollusca; Bivalvia; Myida; Myidae
Exons: 3
Source: RefSeq, a predicted model, not a curated record
UGGAAAGGCCUUGCGAAGAGUUGCCAGAAUCCUAUAAGAAAGUACAUCAUCCUCCAGCACCCAGUAUUCAAGUUGAUUAUGUGCGAAGCGAUGCUUACAUGUUUGAAGUGUACAGCUACGUACGAAGACGAAUCGACGAAGCAAUCGAGCUGUGCAGAGAUGACAAUAGCAGUUCAGAUUUUUGUUCGGAGAACAUUCUGAUCAUAUUUUCUGACGACAAAUCGACAUCAGGCAAUAAUUUCUACGAAGGAGUUACUGAUAUAGAGCGGAUCAAUUGAAUCGAUUCUCGAUAAAGAUCCAUCUGUUAUUGUGUCCAUUGGAAUGAAUGAAAAAUGCUUUGCAACACUUCAGCAAAAAUCUGCAGAUAAACCGAUGUCUCCAGUUUUUUGCAAAAUAACACCCACAAGUCCAACGGACAUUCAAUGCGAAUAUAUUCAUAGAAAUGUGUGGGGGUUUGAAUGUUUUGCAAGGAUCUAUCGAAAGACAACGUGGUGGCAUAUGUUGACAAUGUGUUGGAAUACUACGCCUUUGAGGUGCUUGACAGAGCUAUAAAUAAUCUCCCCGA